AGUAUUUGGUAUCUGCGCUCUGCUGAAGCCCAGUUACCUUCGGAAAAAAGAGUUGGUAGCUCUUGAUCCGGGCAAAACAAACCACCCCGCUGGUAGGCGGUGGUUUUUUUUGU
This 113-nucleotide non-coding RNA is filed under the name Caenorhabditis remanei. Lineage: Eukaryota; Metazoa; Nematoda; Chromadorea; Rhabditida; Rhabditidae. The record is from RNAcentral.